UGCCACGUGUAGCAGUAAUAUGCGUAGAGAUGUGGAGGAAUCACCGAUGGAGAAGGCAGCCUCCUGGGCCAACACUGACGCUCAUGCAAAAAAGCGUGGGGAGCAAACAGGAUUAGAUACCGUAGUACUCCCCGCCCUAAACGAUGUCAACUAGUUGUUGGGGAUUCAUUUCCUUAGUAACUAGCUAACGCUUGAAGUUGACCGCCUGGAGAGUACGGUCACAAGAUUAAUUCUCAAAGGAAUUGACGGGCACCCGCACAAGCGGUAGAUGAUGUGGAUUAAUGACGCAACGCGAAAAACCUUACCUACCCUUGACAUGGUCGGAAGUCUGCUGAGAGGUGGACGUGCUCGAAAGAGAACCGACACACAGGUGCUGCAUGGGUGUCGUCAGCUCGUGUCGUGAGAUGUUGGGUUAAGUCCCGCAACGAGCGCAACCCUUGUCCUUAGUUGCUACGCAAGACCACUCUAAGGAGACUGCCGGUGACAAACCGGAGAAGGUGGGGAUGACGUCAAGUCCUCAUGGCCCUUAUGGGUAGGGCUUCACACGUCAUACAAUGGUCGGAACAGAAGGUUGCCAAGCCGCGAGGUGGAGCCAAUCCCAUAAAACCGAUCGUACUCCGGAUCGCAUUCUGCAACUCGACUGCGUGAAGCUGGAAUCGCUAGUAAUCGCGGAUCAACAUGCCGCGGUGAAUACGUUCCCGGGUCUUGUACACACCGCCCGUCACACCAUGGGAGUGGGUUUCACCAAAAGUAGGUAGCCUAACCGCAAGGAGGGCGCUUACCACGGUGGGAUUCAUGACUGGGGUGAAGUCGUAACAAGGUAGCCGUAUCGGAAGGU
RNAcentral lists this ribosomal RNA (838 nucleotides) under Burkholderia sp. FL3-5-1. Its description in RNAcentral is "bacterial SSU rRNA". It matches the Rfam family "Bacterial small subunit ribosomal RNA", at positions 667 to 1513 of the family's 1533-position model. The record is from RNAcentral. Lineage: Bacteria; Pseudomonadati; Pseudomonadota; Betaproteobacteria; Burkholderiales; Burkholderiaceae.